Molecule: ribosomal RNA, 379 nt
Filed under: Scytodes sp. 31 YFL-2022a
Lineage: Eukaryota; Metazoa; Arthropoda; Arachnida; Araneae; Scytodidae
Description: partial large subunit ribosomal RNA
Rfam family: Archaeal large subunit ribosomal RNA
Source: RNAcentral
GUACUAAGGUAGCAUAAUAACUAGCCUUUUAAUUAAAGGAUAGAAUGAAAGAACUAACGAGCUAAUAAUUCAUCCUUUAUAAUAUAAAAUAAAUUAUCAAUAAGGUAAAAAGACCUUAAAAUAAAAGGAAGACGACAAGACCCUGAUGAACUUUAACAAUAUGUUAGGCUGGGGCAGCCACAAAAUUACACCUUACCCAAAUAACAAAAAUAGUUAAGGAAAAUCCAACCUUAAAACAAGUUACCACAGGGAUAACAGCACAAUUCCCUUCAAGAGCACUAAUCUAAAAAGGAGAUUAUGACCUCGAUGUUGAAUUACCUUAAAUAUAUAAGCAACCUUAUAUCACAAUGGUCUGUUCGACCAAAAACAGGUACAUGAU